GGGGUUGUAGCUCAGUGGUAGAUCACUCGCCUACCAUGUGUGAGGCAAUGGGUUCAAUUCUCAGCACCA
RNAcentral lists this transfer RNA (69 nucleotides) under Marmota monax (woodchuck). Its description in RNAcentral is "tRNA.Gly". The record is from RNAcentral. Lineage: Eukaryota; Metazoa; Chordata; Mammalia; Rodentia; Sciuridae.